Molecule: ribosomal RNA, 253 nt
Filed under: uncultured microorganism
Description: partial 16S ribosomal RNA
Rfam family: Bacterial small subunit ribosomal RNA
Source: RNAcentral
UACGUAGGGUGCGAGCGUUAAUCGGAUUUACUGGGCGUAAAGCGUGCGCAGGCGGCCCGUUAAGACAGGUGUGAAAUCCCUGGGCUCAACCUAGGAAUUGCGCUUGUGACUGGCGGGCUCGAGUACGGUAGAGGGGGGUGGAAUUCCUGGUGUAGCAGUGAAAUGCGUAGAGAUCAGGAAGAACACCGGUGGCGAAGGCAGCCCCCUGGGCCUGUACUGACGCUCAUGCACGAAAGCGUGGGGAGCAAACAGG